GACCCGCAGGUCCCACUGUAGCUAGCAGCAAGGUGUAGGAUGGUCAAUCCCAUAUAAAUCUAUACACAAACUCACGCUCUCCCUCCAGGAGACUCUGGUUACAAAACAUGACACGACAGUAUAUUGCCAUGCCAUGAAGUAAUGGCUCACAUUAGUGUUAUAGUAUUCUUGUAUAUGUAUAGUAUGCUCCAUCUACUCUAGUGUAUUGUAUGUUCUCUUUGUAUAGUGUAUAGUAUGUUCCUCCUUGUUUCUCAUUAUAGUAUGUUCUUUAUGUUUCUCGUUAUAGUGUGUUUGAACUAACUCAAGUAUGAACUGACUCUUGUAUGUUUCAUUGUUCUAGAAAUAGUGAGUAGUAAUCCUCUAAACUAUACCUAUUAUAGUUUACUAGUGAUGCAUUGCUUGAAUGAUUGUGUAUGUUUGCACACCUUUGCUACCCAAAGGUGUUGAACUGAGAUAAGAACUUGUAUAUCUAUACAUAUAUACAUAAUAUAUAACUAAGAUUCAAACGACACUCAGACAAACAACCGGAUACUCUAAGUCCACAACCAAACAAGGAACAGGAAAUAAAGUGAGUUAUUAGUCCUAAUCCCUUUCAACCUUACUUAUAUAACUAUAUCUAUAUAGACAUGAUUUUGACAAUAUAUAAGUUUAAAAGAGAUUAAUAGAGAGUUUAGCAUAUAAAAGAGUUUGAACAUAAAAGGGAAUUUUAACCAUUUGAAUGGUUAUAGAUGACUUCAUGUCAGUUUAUAAAAUGUUUUGAAGAUUUUGUUUGAUAAACAGUUUGAAGUAUAAGAAAAUCCACUUGUUUGAUAGUUAUUAAUCACAUGUGAUUUAUAUAAAAACUAUAAUGUUUUCAACUUGUAUUCCGCCCCCCCCCCCCCANUAGGAUGCUAAGUGUCAAGUGAAGCCUCGAGCACAAACGGAUCCUAUUAAGCAUAUAAUGACACAUAUAUGUAUAUAAUUAGUGUAUCUCUACUGGUUCUUCCACGAAGUUGAGGCUCUCGUUGAUCUUAAUCUCAUCGAGUGGGAUUACAAGAGUCUCGUCGGACAGACACAUUUUCAAGUUCAAUACGUGGAAAGUAGGGUGUACGUUACUUAGUUCGCGAGGUAGUUUGAGUUUGUAAGCUACAAGCCCAAUUCUAGCGAUGAUCUCGAAAGGCCCUGCGUAUCUUGGAUUUAGCUUUUCACGCUUUCCGAAGCGUAUCAAACCCUUCCAGGGUGAGACUUUCAAUAGAACGCGGUCUCCAACCUGGAAUUCCAAAGGUUUCCUUCUCUUGUCUGCGUAGCUUUUCUGUCGGUCUUUAGAGGCUUUUAAUCGUUCACGGAUUUGAAUGAUCUUCUCUGUCGUUUCCCGAAUGAUUUCAAGACAUGUGAGAGUGCUGUCAGGAACGCGCCCUUUAGCUAACUGUGUGUCACCCACCUCAGCCCAACACAGAGGGGAUCUGUACUUCCGGCCAUAGAGGGCUUUAAAUGGAGCAGCCUUUAUGCUCGUGUGAUAACUAUUAUUGUAGGAGAACUCGACAAGGGGUAGAUGAAUAUCCCAUGCCUUUCCAAAGUCAAUUACACAUGCUCGCAACAUAUCUUCCAAAGUUUGAAUAGUCCUCUCACUUUGUCCGUCGGUUUGCGGAUGGUAGGCUGUACUCCUGUCCAACCUAGUUCCUAGGGAAACUNCCUUGAAGUGAAUCUACUAUCUCUAUCAGAGAUAAUGGAUAUAGGAACACCAUGCAGUCGUACGAUCUCCCUAAUGUAAUUUCUAGUUAGUUUCUCCAUCUUUUUCUUUAAUAGGCAGGAAGUGUGCGGACUUUGUUAACCUAUCUACGAUCACCCAUAUGGUAUCGAGACCACCCGUUGUCUUGGGAAACUUGGUUAUGAAGUACAUCAUGAUCCGCUCCUACUUCCAUUCUGGUAUCUCUAGUUGUCAUAGUAAACCUGAUGGUUUAUGGUAUUCGACCUUAACCUUGGCGCAAGUAAGGCACUUGCUGACGAAGGUAGCAAUCUCUUCUUUCAUGUUAGGCCAUCAGUAUAGCUUUUUAAGAUCCAGAUACAUCUUAUCUGAACCUGGGUGGACAGAAUAUCAAGUGUUGUGCGCUUCGGUCGUGACUAAGUCUCUAAAACCACCGUGUCUUGGUGUCCAGAUCCGAUCCAUGAGAUAUAAUGCUCCGCCACCCUUGACUUACAAGUUCUUAUCCAUCCCUCUCAGGGAUUCACCCGCCAAAUUUUCAGGUUUCAAGGCUUCGAGAUGAGCCUCCUUAAUUUGUGUGGACGGAUGUGAAUGGAUAGUCAUAGUCAAUGAUUUGACUCUACGACCAGAGUAUUCUUUUCGACUUAGGGCGUUAGCUACUACGUUGGCUUUACCGAGAUGAUAACGAAUUUCGCAUUUGUAGUCAUUAAGUAGCUCGACCCACCGUCGUUGUCUGAUAUUGAGCUCCUUCUGGUCGAAUAUAUGUUGAAGGAUCUUGUGGUCUAUAAAGAUAGUGCUUUUUGUACCAUACAGGUAGUGUCUCCAAAUCUUUAGAGCAAAUACCACUGCUCCUAACUCAAGAUCAUGUGUGGUGUAGUUGACUUUAUGCGUCUUUAGCUGUCUUGAGGCAUAAGCGAUGACCUUACCUCGUUGCAUAAGAACACAUCCGAGCCCUUGAUUGGAUGCAUCGCAAUAAACCAUGAAGUCUUAUAUCCCUUCUGGGAGGGAUAGUAUCGGUGCGCUGCAUAAGGCUCGCUUCAGCGUUUGGAACGCCUUCUCUUGUUUCUCUUCCCAGUCAAAGGCCAUGCCUUUCUGGGUCAAUGUAGUAAGCGGUUUCAAAAUCCUAGAGAAGUUCUGAAUGAACCUGCGAUAGUAGCUAGCGAGGCCUAGAAAUUGAUGAAUUUCUGUAGGCGUCUUUGGUGCUGACCAGUUCUCAAUGGCCUUAAUUUUGGAAGGGUCCACAUGAAUUUCUUCUUCACUGACAACGUGACCCAAGAAUUCCGACUCUUUGAAUCCAAAACUCGCACUUUGAGAACUUCACAUAGAGCUUUUCUGAUCGUAAUGUUUGUAAGACUUGACGUAGAUGUUGACUAUGCUCUUCCUUACUUCGAGAGUAGAUAAGUAUAUCAUCGAUGAAUAUAAUGACGAACUGAUCCAAGUAAGGAUGGCACACCCUAUUCAUUAAGUCCAUGAAUACUGCGGGCGCAUUAGUCAAUCCGAAUGGAAUCACUACAAACUUGUAAUGUCCAUAACAAGUUUGGAAGGCUAUCUUAGGAACAUACUCCUCUAGCACUCGUAAAUGGUGAUACCCGGAUCUCAGAUCUAUCUUUGAAAAGUAAUUCGCCCCUUGCAUUUGGUCGAAAAAAUCAUCUAUGCGAGGUAGAGGGUAACGAUUCUUGACAAUUAGCUUGUUCAGUUCUUUGUAGUCGAUGCACAUACGGAACGAUCCGUCUUUCUUCUUCACGAACAAGACCGGUGCUCCCCAGGGUGAGAAGCUUGGUCUAAUAAAGCCCUUGUUGAGCAGUUCGUUAAGUUGACUAGACAGCUCCUUCAUUUCAGCUGGUGCUAGACGAUAGGGCGACUUGGCUACUAGGGUAGCCCCUGGAACUAAGUCGAUUCUGAACUCGACUUAACGUUGUGGAGGUAAUCUUGGCAGUUCUUAUGGAAAGAUGUCUGGAAAGUCGCGUACUUCUAGGAUGUUCUUUAGGUCUUUUGUCUCUUGACUCAUAUCAACCACAUGAGAAAGGAAUGCGUGACAUUCCUUUUGCAAGUACUUCUGGGCUUGUAUACUCGAGAUGAUACAGAGGUUCGUGACGGGUUUGUCACCAUAGAUAACUAGAGUUUUGUUAGACGGUAGAUUAAGGCGAACAGCCUUUUCAUAACACAUGAUUUCAGCACGAUGAAGACUCAAGCAAUCCAUGCUGAUAUGACAUCAAAACUUUUAAUUGAGACUGACAUAAGGUCAAUUGGAAAUGAAUGGCUAUCUAGAGUCAGAGUACAUCCUAUGUAUAUACUGCUAGUGCUCUCAGUCUUUCCAUUAGCCAUUUCUACUGUGAACCGUUCUUUAAGUGCACAUGGUUUUUGUUUAAGCAAGUGAGAAAUUUUAUGGUUCACGAAAAUCCUUUCCACUCCGCUAUUAAACAGUAUGCAUGCAUAUGAGUUAUCGAGGAGAAACAUACCAGUGACCACUGUAGGGUCGGCUACCGCUUCCACGUGGCCUAUAGCCAAAACUCUUCCCACUCCGCCAGCAUUCCCUGCCUUCGGGCAGCUCCUCUUGUAGUGACCCACCUCGCCACAUCCGUAGCAAGCCUAGCCUACACCAAUGUUGGGGACUUGGGUGAUUGGCCUUGUCGGAGCCUUGCAGAAACGGGCAGUGUGCCCCUUCCUGUUGAAGUUAGCGCACUACAUUUCUUGGCAGGGUCUGUUGUGGUGGAAGUUGCACUUGUUGCACUUGGGCAAGCUUCCAACAUACUGCUUCAUUGGCGCAGUAGCAGUAGGUGUUAUCGCUGCAUGAACAUCCAUGACCUGCUGCUUUUUGUUAGAGUUCUACGCCAUGUUCUUUUUCUUAUCAUCCCAAAACUUUCGCUUGUUGUGAGUGGUUUUGGAGGGUUCUGGAAUGGCCAGGGUUGUUGUUGUAGUUGGGGUGCGGACUCCAUGAUCGAUGAGCCGCUGUGCCAGUCGCUUGGCACUGUCGAAGGUAGUGGGGUGUGAAGCUAAGACAUUCCCCUGAAAUAGAGGCACCAACCCCCAGAUAUACAUCUCUAUCUUCUUUCCCUCAAUAGGGACCAUGCCCGGACAUAGUGCCACCAGAUCGCUGAACCUGGCAGUGUAGGCAACUAUGUCGGAACCCUUCAUGGUUAGGCUCUAGAGUUCCUUUUCAAGUUUCUGAACCUCGCCCGCUGGGCAGUACUCUUCUAUCAUAAGCUCCUUCAGAGCUUCCCAACCCAUAGCAUUAGCAAUUAUUAGAGUUAGUGACUUGACAUGGCUAUUCCACCACAUCAGGGCUUUGUCCGCGAAGGUGCAGGCAACAAAUUUUACUUUGCUUCCUUCCGGAAAGGAACAGAUCUCAAAGAUCAAUUCCGUUUUCUCGAACCAUUGCGAGAGGCAAUGAUUCCGCCAGUCCCGUUGAAGGACCUGGGCUUGCAGUUGGUGAAGUCCUUAUACGAGCACUCCCUAGAGCGCAUGGGAGCAUCACCUUGAGUGGAAUGAACUGUUGUUCCACUCCCGCUAGUACCACUAACACUAAAUUGGGCUAAGGCUGCCGAAACAGCCACGACCACUGUAGCUUGGAUUGCUGCCAGAUUGUAUUGUGGAUGAGGUGGAGGUGGUUGCGUUGGAGUUAUCGGAGGAUUGCGUCUCCUUGAUCGACGUGGAGGCAUCUUUCAACUAAAAGUUUAAAAAGAUGAAUAUGAUAGUAAGAAUCAAUUAUAAGUAUAAUGACUAACUCGCCAUAGCCCAGCAAAACAAAUGAGAGUAUGAUUGAUAUAGAGAUCUAACAGUAGAAUGAUGAAAGCAUUUGGAUAAAAUUUUCCAAGAGAUUAGAUGUCUGUCAAUAAUAUUGGCAUUAAUGAUGUAAUAAGUUCGGGAAAAAUGACCUAGAAGUAGGUCUUACAUCAAACUAGAGUUAGCAAGAUUUUGACAGCAUAGAGACCUAGCAACAGUACUAGAAAGAUAGGAAUAUUUACAGGGAAAAGUGCUACAUAGAGCAUAGAUAAGAAGGCUAUUCCUUAAACCAAAAGAAAGGACGAUUAGAGAAUCUUAUACCGACGACGAGUACCCCUCAGGUGAACCCUCAAACCUGCCAGUUGACGCUCCACGUCAAGAAGGUGUCAUUCAUAUACUCUUUGGCGUGCUCGGAGCUCUAUGACUUUAGCUCGAGUUGCAGUUAAUUCUUUCUGCAGAGCCUCAUUGUCUCUCAUAGACCUCCCAUGAGCAUCUUCAAGACGAAGAGUGUGGACUGUAUUAACUCCCGCAUUGUAAUCAACCUCCAUGAUUUGGUUGAUGACUGUCCUACCCUGCUCUUCAUUUCUCGCAACCCUGCGGACCAGAAUAGACAGGACUCUGUCUGCUGAGCCUCCCUCGCUCAGAUUAUAGAAGAUUCUGUCUCCGUUAUAUGGUAUAGGUUGACCCUGUUCUUAACUCCAUCUACCCAAGUUUUCCGCCCACAGAGGCGUCAGGCCUUGAAAAGCUGGACGAGGGUUAGGAUUCGAGAUUGGAGCUACCAGGGGCAGAUCAUUGACUUCUGGCUCAGAGUCAGAAUCCUCCGGAAAGUUCUCUGCAAAGUCAUCCUCCAAAGGGAUUGGAUGAUUAUCUUCUAGCUCUACAUCGAGUCAUCCACCAUUACCUUGGUUGGGAAAGUACGGGUCGCUAGGGAGAUUGAAUCCAACCAUGUUAUCUACGCGAGAAUAAGGGUAAAAGAAAUAAUUAAUUGAUGUACUACUUAAGAUAAUUAUAGGAUGAUCCUUACCAGUUACUUCAAUACUUGCGUAGUGCAUACCAGUCAUAUGUAACCAAAACAUGAUAGACUUUCGAAUAAGUGAUCCUAACUCCAAAUCCACAACCAAACAAGGAACAUGAAGUAAAGAAAAGAUCACAGAUUUUAAGUCUAUGACACCUUAGUCACAUAUAACCUUAGCGUAUCCACUUAGCAGCUAUUGACCUACUAAUAACGACCUUUAGUUCUUAAAUAAGUAAUUAUAGUAACACAAAAUACUCCUAUAGUAUUUUAAGUUUAUGUUAUGUUCUAAAGUUUUCAUUGUAGUAGUGAUGGUAAGUUUUUAGACUUGUUGCAACACCACAACCAUUCCUAGGCACAUGCUAAUCACUUCUCAGAAAGGUAUAGUUGAUCAGGCUAUAUCACUCCUAGAUCUGAUUAUAUGUCCCUAAGCCUGCUUGUACUGUCCAACAACCGUAAUACUUUUCUUCUGUCCUAUAUGACACCGAUUUUAGAAUGAAUGUAGGUACGUAUACUUUGGUUAAAUAUUUUAUUAUUUAAAGGUAUAAACCCUUGGUCAGAGUAUUUUAAUCAUGUUGUGUUUUUAGUUUGUAUAUCUUUUAUGGGUUGAUAUAUUCAAUUCACUAUAAAGAAAACUCUAAUAUCAAUAUGUCACACCCCAAAACUGGAACGACGGAAACGUUCGUGGGCGGAGGACGUCAUGUACAGUAUCAUAUCAAUGCAUAAUAGUAAACAAGCAACAACAUCAUCCAUUACAUUAAUAAUAUAAUUUAAUACAAUUGUGUUAUGUGUAUAGUUUGUAAGACACCAAAAUAAGAAUCAAAGUAAAAAACGAGUCUCGAAUGUGCUCCGUCUUCUCAAAAUCUGGUCCAGUGUACCUGUCUACUGGUGACCUGAGAAUACAAGUUAUUUUGAAAGAGUAGAUCAGCAUUAAAGCUGGUGAGUUCAUAAGUUUUUUAGUGUCAUUUGUUGUAUAAGUUUGAUGAAAGUGUUUGAAAAUGUUCGCAAGUGUUUGUUGUAAAUGUUUGUAAGUGUUUGUAGUAAAUGUUUAUAGAAAAUAAUAUAUUUUCUACUAGAAAUGUAGCCUUCUACCAAGACCUGACUGUUUUGUAUGUUUCUUCUUUUGUAAAAGGGAGUGCUUUUCCCAAGUAUAACUAUCAUUACUAAAAUGUAGUUUACAUUUCCGUUUAUGUGAGAAGAUCACAAUGUAAAUGCAAUGGGAAAAUAAAGAUGUAUUGUAGUAUUGUAUGUAAGUAACUAACAAUGUACUAACUACCUUAAAUUGGUUUGUUUAAUUAAGGUAAAAUGUGAUGAGGUUGUAACCAUACUCGAUUGACUAGUAAAACACAACGAUCAAAGAUGUCGAUAUGGUAUGACAUUCAUCACCUGUAGACCUGCAGGUCCCACUGUAGCUAGCAAAAAGGUGUAGGAUGGUCAAUCUCGUAUAGAUCUAUACACAAACUCACGCUCUCCCUCCAGGAGACUCUGGUUACAAAACGUGACACAACAGUAUAUUGCCAUGCCAUGAAGUAGUGGCUCACAUUAGUGUUAUAGUAUUCUUGUAUAUGUAUAAUAUGCUUUAUCUGCUCUAGUGUAUUAUAUGUUCUCUUUGUAUAGUGUAUAGUAUGUUCCUCCUUGUUUCUCAUUAUAGUAUGUUCUUUAUGUUUCUCGUUAUAGUGUGUUUGAACUAACUCAUGUAUGAACUGACUCUUGUAUGUUUCAUUGUUCUAGAAAUAGUGAGUAGUAAUCCUCUAAACUAUACCUAUUAUAGUUUACUAGUGAUGCAUUGUUUGAAUGAUUGUGUAUGUUUGCACACCUUUGCUACCCAAAGGUGUUGAACUGAGAUAAGAA
Molecule: long non-coding RNA, 8267 nt
Filed under: Lactuca sativa (garden lettuce)
Lineage: Eukaryota; Viridiplantae; Streptophyta; Magnoliopsida; Asterales; Asteraceae
Description: long non-coding RNA (LSAT_LNC007502)
Source: RNAcentral